AGCAGCGUGGUGUAGUGGUUUGAGUGUUGGACUAUGACUCUGGAACCAGGGUUCAGUUCCCUGCACAGCCA
Molecule: transfer RNA, 71 nt
Filed under: Phrynosoma platyrhinos (Desert horned lizard)
Lineage: Eukaryota; Metazoa; Chordata; Lepidosauria; Squamata; Phrynosomatidae
Description: tRNA-OTHER
Source: RNAcentral